Long non-coding RNA from Gallus gallus (chicken), 1203 nucleotides. The record is from Ensembl. Lineage: Eukaryota; Metazoa; Chordata; Aves; Galliformes; Phasianidae.
AAUCCAUCACAGACCUCCUCCCAUCUGCCAUCGAUCCCCAAGCUUGCUGCUACAGACAGAGCUCAAGACCCCAGAUACCAUAACUCACGGACUGGAAGACUCAGCAGAAUAUAAAAGGUACCAGGAGACCACUUCCUUGAGAUCCUUCUAGAUCCCUUCCUUUGGGCCUCUCGCUGCAAGAAAGACAUGGAGGCCCCGGAAUGUGUUCAGAGAAGGGCAACAGAGCUGUGAACAGUCUAGAGCAGAGGUCUGGGGGAGCUGGGAUGGUUCAGUCUGGAGAAGAGGAAGCUCAUUGCUAAAACAUAACCCGUUGAGAGGCACUGUGCAGUUGGAAAGUCCCACUCUGCCACAGACAGAAUACCAGGAAACUUCAGUCACAUUGGCAGCUCUGGAGCAAAGCUGGAGACCCCCCUGCCAGCCAUGCUGCAGCUCUGUCAGAGUUGGAUUCUGCAGGGCACUGCCGUUGUCCUAUGUGUCCAUAUGUGUCCUGCACAGCACCAGUGGGCUCUCAUAUUUCCUGCCCCAAGCUCACCUGCUCAGUAGGAGAUCUGCAGAAAAUUCCAUGUCCGUAUAGAGAAAAUAUCUGGUUCUUUCAAACUGAAGAUGUAAAGAUGACUAAAAGAAGGUCGGCCUGGAACCAAAAGGAAGAGCCUAAACACAUGAAGCUAAUGAGUGCAGAAAUACCAGAGUUGUUGUAGCAUGGACAUCAAGUACAUGGACACCAGGGACAUGGGCAAAAACACAUGGACACCAAUAACGUGGACACAAGUACACGGACAUCAGGAAUAUACGGACACAAGAACGUGGGAAAGCAUAGUCUGAAGCUCUCCACAGCAUCCAAGAAGGGCCAGGUCCCAUGCCCCAUUUUAGCAGUUUCAAGUGACAUGUGCAUCCCUGGCUCAUAAAUCUCAGCUAAUCAGAGCACUUCCUUGGGCCUCCAUAUCUUUGUUGAAUCACUUUCCCCAGGCCACGCUGACUCUCCAGACCUCUCACUCAGUGCUUCCAACAAGGGACACAACAAACUCCAGCCCAACACAGCUCCCCACAGCUCAGGCUGCUGUUGCCAUCGCUCACACACACAACCAGCCGACCGCACAGAGCCUGUGAGCUCCCACAGCACAAAGCUCCACUGUUAGAUGUGUCCGCUCGCGUGGUUUAACAUGCAUCAUCUACCAUGCUGACAAAGAUUAAAUGAGUCAUCCC